This 255-nucleotide ribosomal RNA is filed under the name uncultured bacterium. Its description in RNAcentral is "partial 16S ribosomal RNA". It matches the Rfam family "Bacterial small subunit ribosomal RNA", at positions 524 to 776 of the family's 1533-position model. The record is from RNAcentral.
CACGUAGGGUGCGAGCGUUGUCCGGAAUUAUUGGGCGUAAAGAGCUCGUAGGCGGUGUGUCGCGUCGGCCGUGAAAACCUGCAGCUUAACUGUGGGCGUGCGGUCGAUACGGGCAUCACUGGAGUUCGGCAGGGGAGACUGGAAUUCCUGGUGUAGCGGUGAAAUGCGCAGAUAUCAGGAGGAACACCGGUGGCGAAGGCGGGUCUCUGGGCCGAUACUGACGCUGGAGGAACGAAAGCGUGGGGAGCGAACAGG